RNAcentral lists this ribosomal RNA (251 nucleotides) under uncultured prokaryote. RNAcentral's name for it is "partial 16S ribosomal RNA". It matches the Rfam family "Bacterial small subunit ribosomal RNA", at positions 524 to 774 of the family's 1533-position model. The record is from RNAcentral.
UACGUAGGUGGCAAGCGUUGUCCGGAUUUACUGGGCGUAAAGGGCGUGCAGGCGGUCCGUUAAGUCUAGGGUGAAAGCUCCCGGCUCAACUGGGAGAGGUCCUUGGAUACUGGCAGACUUGAGGAGAGUAGAGGAGAGUGGAAUUCCCGGUGUAGUGGUGAUAUGCGUAGAUAUCGGGAGGAACACCAGUGGCGAAGGCGGCUCUCUGGGCUCUACCUGACGCUGAGACGCGAAAGCGUGGGGAGCGAGCC